AUUGAACGCUGGCGGCAGGCUUAACACAUGCAAGUCGAGCGGAGAUGAGGUGCUUGCACCUUAUCUUAGCGGCGGACGGGUGAGUAAUGCUUAGGAAUCUGCCUAUUAGUGGGGGACAACAUUCCGAAAGGAAUGCUAAUACCGCAUACGCCCUACGGGGGAAAGCAGGGGAUCUUCGGACCUUGCGCUAAUAGAUGAGCCUAAGUCGGAUUAGCUAGUUGGUGGGGUAAAGGCCUACCAAGGCGACGAUCUGUAGCGGGUCUGAGAGGAUGAGCCGCCACACUGGGACUGGGGCACGGCCCAGACUCCUACGGGAGGCAGCAGUGGGGAAUAUUGGACAAUGGGCGGAAGCCUGAUCCAGCCAUGCCGCGUGUGUGAAGAAGGCCUUUUGGUUGUAAAGCACUUUAAGCGAGGAGGAGGCUACCUGGAUUAAUACUCUAGGAUAGUGGACGUUACUCGCAGAAUAAGCACCGGCUAACUCUGUGCCAGCCGCCGCCGUAA
RNAcentral lists this ribosomal RNA (501 nucleotides) under uncultured bacterium. Its description in RNAcentral is "partial 16S ribosomal RNA". It matches the Rfam family "Bacterial small subunit ribosomal RNA", at positions 30 to 523 of the family's 1533-position model. The record is from RNAcentral.